RNAcentral lists this transfer RNA (75 nucleotides) under Candidatus Cloacimonas sp. 4484_209. RNAcentral describes it as "tRNA-Pro". It matches the Rfam family "tRNA". From Rfam's summary of the family: Transfer RNA (tRNA) molecules are approximately 80 nucleotides in length. Lineage: Bacteria; Pseudomonadati; Candidatus Cloacimonadota; Cloacimonadia (SeqCode); Cloacimonadales (SeqCode); Cloacimonadaceae (SeqCode). RNAcentral also lists the same sequence under 2 other names. The record is from RNAcentral.
CGGGGCGUAGCGCAGUCCGGUUAGCGCACCAGCAUGGGGGGCUGGGGGUCGUCGGUUCAAAUCCGACCGCCCCGA